CCAAUAGCGUAUAUUAAAGUUGUUGCAGUUAAAAAGCUCGUAGUUGAAUUUCGGGAUCAGUACGCUGGUCAUGCCUUUGGUAUGCACUGGUGUCACUGGUUUCUCCCUUCUGAAGAACCGUGAUGUCAUUAAUUUGGUGUCGCGGGGAAUCAGGACUGUUACUUUGAAAAAAUUAGAGUGUUUAAAGCAGGCUUACGCUUGAAUACAUUAGCAUGGAAUA
RNAcentral lists this ribosomal RNA (220 nucleotides) under uncultured Glomus. Its description in RNAcentral is "partial small subunit ribosomal RNA". It matches the Rfam family "Eukaryotic small subunit ribosomal RNA", at positions 591 to 816 of the family's 1831-position model. The record is from RNAcentral. Lineage: Eukaryota; Fungi; Glomeromycota; Glomeromycetes; Glomerales; Glomeraceae.